This is a long non-coding RNA of Octodon degus (degu), 265 nucleotides long. RefSeq lists it as uncharacterized. The record is from RefSeq and is a predicted model, not a curated record. NCBI's taxonomy places the organism in Eukaryota, Metazoa, Chordata, Mammalia, Rodentia, Octodontidae. The transcript has 3 exons.
CAGCGUUCAUCUGUAUUUAUUUUUCUUUCAUAUAAAAAUUACACAUUUGAAAUGUCGGCAGGAAGACACCACCACCAGACCACGAGUGGGGUCUGCGACACUGACACUGGGGAGGCCAUGGGGCAGCUGCAGCGCCACGGGCUGUAGAGCCGACGUCAGGGCUCAGGCCGGGCUUGGGGCGUGCCCUGGCCCGCUCCACGGCACUGCAGAGCCGUCUGCCUGUCUGCAGUGGGUGUGACGCCCCCCGACCAGCCCAGCUCCAGCC